Molecule: ribosomal RNA, 390 nt
Filed under: bacterium T-1-0-11H
Lineage: Bacteria
Description: bacterial SSU rRNA
Rfam family: Bacterial small subunit ribosomal RNA
Source: RNAcentral
GGCGUAAAGCGCGCGUAGGUGGCCAAUUAAGUCAAUGUGAAAUCCCGAGCUUAAAUAGGGAAUUGCAUUCGAUACUGGUUGGCUAGAGUAUGGGAGAGGAUGGUAGAAUUCCAGGUGUAGCGGUGAAAUGCGUAGAGAUCUGGAGGAAUACCGAUGGCGAAGGCAGCCAUCUGGCCUAAUACUGACACUGAGGUGCGAAAGCAUGGGGAGCAAACAGGAUUAGAUACCCUGGUAGUCCAUGCCGUAAACGAUGUCUACUAGCCGUUGGGGCCUUUGAGGCUUUAGUGGCGCAGCUAACGCGAUAAGUAGACCGCCUGGGGAGUACGGUCGCAAGACUAAAACUCAAAUGANUNGACGGGGGCCCGCACAAGCGGUGGAGCAUGUGGUUUA